UGGGGAAUUUUGGACAAUGGGCGAAAGCCUGAUCCAGCAAUGCCGCGUGUGUGAAGAAGGCCUUCGGGUUGUAAAGCACUUUUGUCCGGAAAGAAAUCCUUGGCUCUAAUACAGUCGGGGGAUGACGGUACCGGAAGAAUAAGCACCGGCUAACUACGUGCCAGCAGCCGCGGUAAUACGUAGGGUGCAAGCGUUAAUCGGAAUUACUGGGCGUAAAGCGUGCGCAGGCGGUUUGCUAAGACCGAUGUGAAAUCCCCGGGCUCAACCUGGGAACUGCAUUGGUGACUGGCAGGCUAGAGUAUGGCAGAGGGGGGUAGAAUUCCACGUGUAGCAGUGAAAUGCGUAGAGAUGUGGAGGAAUACCGAUGGCGAAGGCAGCCCCCUGGGCCAAUACUGACGCUCAUGCACGAAAGCGUGGGGAGCAAACAGGAUUAGAUACCCUGGUAGUCCACGCCCUAAACGAUGUCAACUAGUUGUUGGGGAUUCAUUUCCUUAGUAACGUAGAACUAACGCGUGAAGUUGACCGCCUGGGGAGUACGGUCGCAAGAUU
RNAcentral lists this ribosomal RNA (549 nucleotides) under uncultured bacterium. RNAcentral's name for it is "partial 16S ribosomal RNA". It matches the Rfam family "Bacterial small subunit ribosomal RNA", at positions 355 to 895 of the family's 1533-position model. The record is from RNAcentral.